GACGAACGCUGGCGGCGUGCUUAACACAUGCAAGUCGAACGGAAAGGCCCUGCUUGCGGGGUACUCGAGUGGCGAACGGGUGAGUAACACGCGGGUGAUCUGCCCUGCACUUCGGGAUAAGCCUGGGAAACUGGGUCUAAUACCGGAUAGGAGCCAUUUUUAGUGUGAUGGUUGGAUAGUUUAUUCGGUGUAGGAUGAGCUCGCGGCCUAUCUGCUUGUCGGUGGGGUAAUGGCCUACCAAGACGGCGACGGGUAGCAGGCCUGCGAGGGUGGACGGCGACACUGAGACUGAGAUGCGGCCCAGACUCCUACGCGAGGCAGCAGUGGGGAAUAUUGAACAAUGGGCGCAAGCCUGAUGCAGCGACGCCGCGUGGGGGAUGACGGCCUUCGGGUUGUAAACUCCUUUCGCUAGGGACGAAGCUUUUUGUGACGGUACCUAGAUAGGAAGCACCGGCUAACUACGUG
RNAcentral lists this ribosomal RNA (465 nucleotides) under uncultured bacterium. RNAcentral's name for it is "partial 16S ribosomal RNA". It matches the Rfam family "Bacterial small subunit ribosomal RNA", at positions 28 to 507 of the family's 1533-position model. The record is from RNAcentral.